Molecule: ribosomal RNA, 732 nt
Filed under: Acinetobacter baumannii
Lineage: Bacteria; Pseudomonadati; Pseudomonadota; Gammaproteobacteria; Moraxellales; Moraxellaceae
Description: partial 23S ribosomal RNA
Rfam family: Bacterial large subunit ribosomal RNA
Source: RNAcentral
CUCCUGACUGACCGAUAGUGAACCAGUACCGUGAGGGAAAGGCGAAAAGAACCCCUGUGAGGGGAGUGAAAUAGAUCCUGAAACCGCAUGCAUACAAGCAGUGGGAGCACCUUCGUGGUGUGACUGCGUACCUUUUGUAUAAUGGGUCAGCGACUUAUAUUCAGUAGCGAGGUUAACCGUAUAGGGGAGCCGUAGAGAAAUCGAGUCUUAAUAGGGCGUUUAGUUGCUGGGUAUAGACCCGAAACCAGGCGAUCUAUCCAUGAGCAGGUUGAAGGUUGGGUAACACUAACUGGAGGACCGAACCCACUGUCGUUGAAAAGCCAGGGGAUGACUUGUGGAUAGGGGUGAAAGGCUAAUCAAGCCUGGUGAUAGCUGGUUCUCCCCGAAAGCUAUUUAGGUAGCGCCUCGGACGAAUACCAUAGGGGGUAGAGCACUGUUUCGGCUAGGGGGUCAUCCCGACUUACCAAACCGAUGCAAACUCCGAAUACCUAUGAGUACUAUCCGGGAGACAGACUGCGGGUGCUAACGUCCGUAGUCAAGAGGAAAACAAUCCAGACCGCCAGCUAAGGCCCCAAAAUCAUAGUUAAGUGGGAAACGAUGUGGGAAGGCAUAGACAGCUAGGAGGUUGGCUUAGAAGCAGCCACCCUUUAAAGAAAGCGUAAUAGCUCACUAGUCGAGUCGGCCUGCGCGGAAGAUGUAACGGGGCUAAAACUAUGUGCCGAAGCUGCGGAU